Anneissia japonica is the source of this 817-nucleotide long non-coding RNA. RefSeq lists it as uncharacterized. The transcript is spliced from 3 exons. Lineage: Eukaryota; Metazoa; Echinodermata; Crinoidea; Comatulida; Comatulidae. The record is from RefSeq and is a predicted model, not a curated record.
ACAAGAUGCCGAACGGUUGUUGUGUAUUGGGCUUCAAUAGAACGCAAAUAAGUCACCCAAAAGUAUCGUUUUUCCUCUUUCCCAAGAAAGAUAAAAAUAUAAAAACUUUUAAUAACUUUUAAGAAGAUGUUGAGGAAAUGCCAUCUCAGACCAAAAAAGAAAAACAACGAAAUCUAUAUACCGACGAAAACGGGAGGUUGAAAGUGUAAGUACAGAACCUACAUAGCAGCUUUGCAAACCAGGGAGGAGAUCUUGAGAACUCUUUGUGGUUCUCUCUUGCCAAAAAAGACUGGGCAGCUGAAAAAAAUCUUGUCAAGUCUACAUUCGAAUACACUGCGAACAUAAUUGAAAUGGCUCUGUACAUGGCAAAAAGUAAUAUGAAAGAGUUUUUUACACUGCUGAAAUAAUGUGCGAUCCGGGAACAAUUGCUGGGAAAUUGCCGAAACCAGACAAAAAUCAGUUCGUGUCCAGUUUACUCAGCCGAUUCAACAGAAAUUAAAUACUGUAUAGCCAUAAUACAGUAACAUGACCAUGUAACACUUUUUUUUUAUAAGAGCCAUUCAAAUUACGCCCAGGCUCACUGUUAUUAUUUUUUGCUGAUUCCAGCAUUGCUCUAUUUCCAUUUACAGAAAAUUGUUAUUGUACAGCAGUAUAUUACUGUGCUAUAAACGUUAUAAGAUCGUUAUCGUUGAAGUAUAAACAGGCCUUUAUCCUCAACCUGGGCUUCAAUAUUUGGAAAAGCUUUUGGUUUGUACCUAAUUGUACUUUAAACAUUUCUUAUGAGGUAGUUCUUGUUAUCUUGCAUAGUAAAAUACCU